This 902-nucleotide ribosomal RNA is filed under the name uncultured bacterium. RNAcentral describes it as "bacterial SSU rRNA". It matches the Rfam family "Bacterial small subunit ribosomal RNA", at positions 17 to 917 of the family's 1533-position model. The record is from RNAcentral.
UCAUGGCUCAGGAUGAACGCUGGCGGCGUGCUUAACACAUGCAAGUCGAACGAAGCAUUUUAACUUGAUUUCUUCGGAAUGAUUGUUACUUUGACUGAGUGGCGGACGGGUGAGUAACGCGUGGGUAACCUGCCUCAUACAGGGGGAUAACAGUUAGAAAUGACUGCUAAUACCGCAUAAGCGCACGGUAUCGCAUGAUACAGUGUGAAAAACUCCGGUGGUAUGAGAUGGACCCGCGUCUGAUUAGCUAGUUGGUGAGGUAACGGCCCACCAAGGCGACGAUCAGUAGCCGACCUGAGAGGGUGACCGGCCACAUUGGGACUGAGACACGGCCCAAACUCCUACGGGAGGCAGCAGUGGGGAAUAUUGCACAAUGGGCGAAAGCCUGAUGCAGCGACGCCGCGUGAACGAAGAAGUAUUUCGGUAUGUAAAGUUCUAUCAGCAGGGAAGAUAAUGACGGUACCUGACUAAGAAGCACCGGCUAAAUACGUGCCAGCAGCCGCGGUAAUACGUAUGGUGCAAGCGUUAUCCGGAUUUACUGGGUGUAAAGGGAGCGCAGGCGGUACGGCAAGUCUGAUGUGAAAGCCCGGGGCUCAACCCCGGUACUGCAUUGGAAACUGUCGAACUAGAGUGUCGGAGGGGUAAGCGGAAUUCCUAGUGUAGCGGUGAAAUGCGUAGAUAUUAGGAGGAACACCAGUGGCGAAGGCGGCUUACUGGACGAUAACUGACGCUGAGGCUCGAAAGCGUGGGGAGCAAACAGGAUUAGAUACCCUGGUAGUCCACGCUGUAAACGAUGAAUACUAGGUGUCGGGACCCACAGGGUUUCGGUGCCGCAGCAAACGCAAUAAGUAUUCCACCUGGGGAGUACGUUCGCAAGAAUGAAACUCAAAGGAAUUGACGGG